This 237-nucleotide ribosomal RNA is filed under the name uncultured bacterium. RNAcentral describes it as "partial 16S ribosomal RNA". It matches the Rfam family "Bacterial small subunit ribosomal RNA", at positions 524 to 759 of the family's 1533-position model. The record is from RNAcentral.
UACGAAGGGGGCUAGCGUUGUUCGGAUUUACUGGGCGUAAAGCGCACGUAGGCGGAUCGUUAAGUCGGGGGUGAAAUCCUGGAGCUCAACUCCAGAACUGCCUUCGAUACUGGCGAUCUUGAGUCCGGAAGAGGUGAGUGGAACUCCUAGUGUAGAGGUGGAAUUCGUAGAUAUUAGGAAGAACACCAGCGGCGAAGGCGGCUCACUGGUCCGGUACUGACGCUGAGGUGACGAAAG